AAAUUGAAGAGUUUGAUCAUGGCUCAGAUUGAACGCUGGCGGCAGGCCUAACACAUGCAAGUCGAACGGUAGCACAGAGAGCUUGCUCUCGGGUGACGAGUGGCGGACGGGUGAGUAAUGUCUGGGAAACUGCCUGAUGGAGGGGGAUAACUACUGGAAACGGUAGCUAAUACCGCAUAACGUCGCAAGACCAAAGAGGGGGACCUUCGGGCCUCUUGCCAUCAGAUGUGCCCAGAUGGGAUUAGCUAGUAGGUGGGGUAACGGCUCACCUAGGCGACGAUCCCUAGCUGGUCUGAGAGGAUGACCAGCCACACUGGAACUGAGACACGGUCCAGACUCCUACGGGAGGCAGCAGUGGGGAAUAUUGCACAAUGGGCGCAAGCCUGAUGCAGCCAUGCCGCGUGUAUGAAGAAGGCCUUCGGGUUGUAAAGUACUUUCAGCGGGGAGGAAGGUGUUGUGGUUAAUAACCGCAGCAAUUGACGUUACCCGCAGAAGAAGCACCGGCUAACUCCGUGCCAGCAGCCGCGGUAAUACGGAGGGUGCAAGCGUUAAUCGGAAUUACUGGGCGUAAAGCGCACGCAGGCGGUCUGUCAAGUCGGAUGUGAAAUCCCCGGGCUCAACCUGGGAACUGCAUUCGAAACUGGCAGGCUAGAGUCUUGUAGAGGGGGGUAGAAUUCCAGGUGUAGCGGUGAAAUGCGUAGAGAUCUGGAGGAAUACCGGUGGCGAAGGCGGCCCCCUGGACAAAGACUGACGCUCAGGUGCGAAAGCGUGGGGAGCAAACAGGAUUAGAUACCCUGGUAGUCCACGCCGUAAACGAUGUCGACUUGGAGGUUGUGCCCUUGAGGCGUGGCUUCCGGAGCUAACGCGUUAAGUCGACCGCCUGGGGAGUACGGCCGCAAGGUUAAAACUCAAAUGAAUUGACGGGGGCCCGCACAAGCGGUGGAGCAUGUGGUUUAAUUCGAUGCAACGCGAAGAACCUUACCUACUCUUGACAUCCAGAGAACUUAGCAGAGAUGCUUUGGUGCCUUCGGGAACUCUGAGACAGGUGCUGCAUGGCUGUCGUCAGCUCGUGUUGUGAAAUGUUGGGUUAAGUCCCGCAACGAGCGCAACCCUUAUCCUUUGUUGCCAGCGGUCCGGCCGGGAACUCAAAGGAGACUGCCAGUGAUAAACUGGAGGAAGGUGGGGAUGACGUCAAGUCAUCAUGGCCCUUACGAGUAGGGCUACACACGUGCUACAAUGGCGCAUACAAAGAGAAGCGAACUCGCGAGAGCAAGCGGACCUCAUAAAGUGCGUCGUAGUCCGGAUUGGAGUCUGCAACUCGACUCCAUGAAGUCGGAAUCGCUAGUAAUCGUAGAUCAGAAUGCUACGGUGAAUACGUUCCCGGGCCUUGUACACACCGCCCGUCACACCAUGGGAGUGGGUUGCAAAAGAAGUAGGUAGCUUAACCUUCGGGAGGGCGCUUACCACUUUGUGAUUCAUGACUGGGGUGAAGUCGUAACAAGGUAACCGUAGGGGAACCUGCGGUUGGAUCACCUCCUUACCUUAAAGAA
This 1550-nucleotide ribosomal RNA is filed under the name Enterobacter cloacae. RNAcentral describes it as "bacterial SSU rRNA". It matches the Rfam family "Bacterial small subunit ribosomal RNA". The record is from RNAcentral. RNAcentral also lists the same sequence under 6 other names. Lineage: Bacteria; Pseudomonadati; Pseudomonadota; Gammaproteobacteria; Enterobacterales; Enterobacteriaceae.